CCUACGGGGGACAGCAGUGAGGAAUAUUGGUCAAUGGGCGGAAGCCUGAACCAGCCAAGUAGCGUGCAGGAUGACGGCCCUACGGGUUGUAAACUGCUUUUAUACGGGAAUAACGCGCCUUACGUGUAGGGCUUUGCAUGUACCGUAUGAAUCAGGACCGGCCAAUUCCGUGCCAGCAGCCGCGGUAAUACGGAAGGUCCGGGCGUUAUCCGGAUUUAUUGGGUUAAAAGGGUGCGCAGGCGGUCUGUUAAGUCAGCGGUCAAAGCCCGGGGCACACCCCCGGCCCGCCGUUGAAACUGGCAGUCUCGAGUUGGAGAGAAGUAGGCGGAAUGCGCGGUGUAGCGGUGAAAUGCAUAGAUAGCGCGCAGAACUCCGAUUGCGAAGGCAGCAUGCCGGCUCCACACUGACGCUGAGGCACGAAAGCGUGGGUAUCGAACAGGAUUAGAUACCCUGGUAGUC
This 459-nucleotide ribosomal RNA is filed under the name uncultured bacterium. Its description in RNAcentral is "partial 16S ribosomal RNA". It matches the Rfam family "Bacterial small subunit ribosomal RNA", at positions 338 to 795 of the family's 1533-position model. The record is from RNAcentral.